AUGAAAACAUUAUAUAAAGUGGCAUUGUUUAAAGUGGCUAGUGAUACAUCUAAUUACAUCAAGAUGGCAAGAUGCAGCAGAUGGUAUGGCGUACAGUAUAUACAUAUGAGAUGAAUAAUGUAGGUUAAGUAAACAUUAUCUAAUAUAAAUAAUAUAAAGUGGCAAGUGAUAAAUUGAUUACAUCAAUUUUUCCAUUAUUAAAGUGGCUUGAGUUGAGUCAGUAUGUUGGCAGCAGCCACUCAAUGUUAGUGAUGGCUGUUUAACAGUCUGAUGGCCUUGAGAUAGAAGCUGUUUUUCAGUCUCUCGGUUCCAGCUUUGAUGCACCUGUACUGACCUCGCCUUCUGGAUGUUAGCGGGGUGAACAGGCAGUGCCUCGGGUGGUUGCUGUCCUUGAUGAUCUUUUUGGCCUUCCUGUGACAUCGGGUGGUGUAGGUGUCCUGGAGGGCAGGUAGUUUGCUGAAGUCCACGAUCAUCUCUUUUGUUUUGUUGACAUUGAGUGCGAGGUUAUUUUCCUGACACCACACUCCGAGGGCCCUCACCUCCUCCCUGUAGGCCAUCUCGUCGUUGUUGGUAAUCAAGCCUACCACUGUAGUGUCGUCUGCAAACUUGAUGAUUGAGUUGGAGGCGUGCAUGGCCACGCAGUCAUGGGUGAACAGGGAGUACAGAAGAGGGCUGAGAACGCACCCUUUUGGGGACCCAGUGUUGAGGAUCAGCGGGGUGGAGAUGUUGUUACCUACCCUCACCACCUGGGGGCGGCCCGUCAGGAAGUCCAUGACCCAGUUGCACAGGGUGGGGUCGAGACCCAGGGUCUCGAGUUUAAUGACGAGUUUGGAGGGUACUAUGGUGUUAAAUGCUGAGCUGUAAUCGAUGAACAGCAUUCUUACAUAGGUAUUCCUCUUGUCCAGAUGGGUUAGGGCAGUUUGCAGUGUGAUGGCGAUUGCAUCGUCUGUGGACCUAUUGGGUCGGUAAGCAAAUUGGAGUGGGUCUAGGGUGUCAGGUAGGGUGGAGGUGAUAUGGUCCUUGACUAGUCUCUCAAAGCACUUCAUGAUGACGGAAGUGAGUACAUUAUGAUCCAUUAAUUCAUUACACUCCCUCCUCUGUCAAUGCCAUUGGAAUCCAAAUUUGCGCUGCCGGGUCAACAGUUUCAAGCUACAUUCAGUGUGUUCCAAAAAAUCGCAACCCAGUAAGCAAAAAAAUAAAUAAUUCCCUUACAGGAACUGGCACAUUCUUAAUGUAAAGCACCUGUGGGACAAUCAAUCUGUUUUGCAUAAAUACAAAUAGCCAUGUCUAUGAAGUAAUAACCAGUUUCCUGAUAGCGAUAGAAUUAGGCUUACAAGUGUUUUAAUAAGGUGUUUGCCAAAACACCACGCAGGGAGAACUUCCAAUAAGUACAUCGUUAGAGCAUGUGUCGAUACUGACUGGAUCAAAAGAAAGGCAACGCUGCCCUCAGAUCAGCUUUCUCCAUUCAACUCUUACCUUUAACAUUAGAUACUGACCACAGAUCAGGUCCUAGAGAGAAAUUAUCACCUAUGCCUGCGAAUAUUGAGGAGGCUUAUUCUAAUGCUAAGGCUAUCCACUAAAUCAAAUAUUUGGCACAUCAUUGUGCAUAUGUUGUUAGGUCUACACAUCAUGAAAUGUAGGCAAUAAUUACAGAGAGUAGCCUACAAUUAGCAUUGAAAAAUAAAGCACAAAUACAUCUUGACAAGUUUUCAACCCCCUGAGUCAAUACAUGUUAGAAUCAUCUUUGGCAGUGAUGUGUCUUUCUGGGUUAUUGUCCUGCUGAAAGGUGAAUUCAUCUCCCAGUGUCUGUUGGAAAGCAGACUGAACCAGAUUUUCCUCUAGGAUUUUUCCUGUGUUUAGCUCUAUUCCAUUUAUUUUUAUCAAUUUUUUUUUUCCCUAGUUCUUUCCGAUGACAAGCCUACCCAUAACAUUACCACCACCGUGCUUGAAAAUAUAAAGAUUGGUUCUCUGUGAUGUGUUGUGUUGGAUGUGCACCAAUGACGCUUUGUAUUCAGGACAUAAGUAGUACUACGCGAUUGGACAAGGACUACUGCCAAUAGCCAAUGAGCAUUCAACAUGUGAGACCAAAAAAACAAUGAUGGUGAAGAGGAAAGCAACAACAACAUGCUCCGUGUGGACCAAGGUGAUGGGAG
RNAcentral lists this long non-coding RNA (2153 nucleotides) under Salmo salar (Atlantic salmon). RNAcentral describes it as "lncRNA (ENSSSAG00000088051.1)". Lineage: Eukaryota; Metazoa; Chordata; Actinopteri; Salmoniformes; Salmonidae. The record is from RNAcentral.